Molecule: ribosomal RNA, 220 nt
Filed under: uncultured Leptolinea sp.
Lineage: Bacteria; Bacillati; Chloroflexota; Anaerolineae; Anaerolineales; Anaerolineaceae
Description: partial 16S ribosomal RNA
Rfam family: Bacterial small subunit ribosomal RNA
Source: RNAcentral
GCCGGAGGAAGUGGGGAUGAUGUCAAGUCAGCAUGGCCUUUAUAUCCUGGGCUACACACACGCUACAAUGGCCAACACAAUAGGUUGCUAAGCCGCGAGGUGGCGCCAAUCCAUAAAGUUGGUCUCAGUUCAGAUUGUAGGCUGCAACCCGCCUGCAUGAAGAUGGAGUUGCUAGUAACCGCAGGUCAGCUAUACUGCGGUGAAUACGUUCCCGGGGCUU